AGCAGCCGCGGUAAUUCCAGCUCCAAUAGCGUAUAUUAAAGUUGUUGCAGUUAAAAAGCUCGUAGUUGAAUUUCGGGAUCAAUAUUUCGGUCAUGCCGUUGGUAUGCACUGUUAUCAUUGAUUUCUCACCUUCUAAAGAACCGUAAUGCCAUUAAUUUGGUGUUACGGGGAAUUAGGACUGUUACCUUGAAAAAUUAGAGUGUUUAAAGCAGGCUCACGCUUGAAUACAUUAGCAUGGAAUAAUGAAAUAGGACAUCCGAUUCUAUUUUGUUGGUUUCUAGGAUCGAUGUAAUGAUUAAUAGGGAUAGUUGGGGGCAUUAGUAUUCAAUUGUCAGAGGUGAAAUUCUUGGAUUUAUUGAAGACUAACUACUGCGAAAGCAUUUGCCAAGGAUGUUUUCAUUAAUCAAGAACGAAAGUUAGGGGAUCGAAGACGAUCAGAUACCGUCGUAGUCUUAACCAUAAACUAUGCCGACUGGGGAUCGGAUGAUGUUAAUUUUUAAUGA
This 503-nucleotide ribosomal RNA is filed under the name uncultured Glomus. RNAcentral describes it as "SSU rRNA". It matches the Rfam family "Eukaryotic small subunit ribosomal RNA", at positions 569 to 1074 of the family's 1831-position model. Lineage: Eukaryota; Fungi; Glomeromycota; Glomeromycetes; Glomerales; Glomeraceae. The record is from RNAcentral.